CAAUACAAAGCAUAUUGAGUAGUCUUCUUCCAAAGUUCUCUCUUUUAAUAUUUUCCUUCACCUUUCUAGCUUCCUCUUCUUAGUUGAAUCUUUCGAUUUUAUUAACGAUCUUGGGCUAGCAGAAGGUUUCCUAAAUAUACCUUUCUUCUGCUAUUCUCUACACUUGAAAAAUAUAUUAAGUUAAUAAAGCUUAAUUAGAUUAAUACAAAUGUAGAUGCAGACAUCUGAAAUUUGAAAAAUAAGAUUGUGAGCGUCAAACACUUAUCAAUAAGAAAAAUAUACUUCGGAGAGAGUAUCGAUUAGUUGUUUAGCUCAGCUUGAAUACCUGUAAGUUCCUGAAAUCAAAUUUUGCUCCAUUGGUAAAUUUUCUAGAAGCGGUUAUUUCGUCUUCUGUAGUUGCUUUGCGUUCUCUGCUUCUUUCUCCUUGCCAUCAUAAUUUUGUGCCCCAGCUCUUCAACGGUUCUUUCAAGCCAUUUCAUAUUUCCAGUUGAGAUCAAGAUAUAUAUUAUGGAUAGUCCGGUUCCAUACCCCAUAAGAGCGGCUUUCCAAAAAUCAUUCAGAAAUUCAGAGUUGCUUUCUUCAUCAAGCGCAGAUCCAGUAUAAGUUUCCUCUGAUGCUGAAUCAUGACCGUCGUUACCACAACCUUUUGAAAGUGGGAAUCCACAUAAUCUAUCAUUACCUUCAUAUGAAUUGUUCUCAAAGGUAUGAAAUUGAUUUCCUUGAGGAAUGCACCCUUCGAGAUGAAUUGUUCUCAAGUCAUAUUGUGAUGCAGACAUGUUUGGUUCUCAUUUCUUAGCUCUAAAGUAGUGGACCAAUAAAUUUCUAGACUAUAUUGAAAUCUCUAAUAGACUCCAUAGCACUUGAUUAACAUGAGUUUAGAUGACCGCAAUGUGAAACGUGAGAAUUCAUAAUACUAAUGUCGAGAGUUAAUUGUUCACAUCGCCAAUCAACUUUUGAUAAUUAUCUCAGAAAGCCACAAUUCUUUGUUUUAUAAUAGAACAGCCGCUCAUUAUGGUUGUUGAAACCGUCAUCAUAUUUGGAGUUUGUUAUUUUAGUUAUGUAAAUAAAACUAUCAUACACUAAAUAAUUAAUGGUGUGCAAAAACCGAACCGAAUCGAUAAAAAUGCUAUUGGGUUAACAAUUUUUUAUUGGUUUUAUAAAAAAAUUAUUGGGUAAAUGGUUCAGCUAUCGAUAAUCCAAUAAGGAUACACUACUGUUUUACCCUUAUUUGUGUUAUAUAUUUAUAUAUUGUAUACACUACUUAUUCACAAUUCAGAGAUUCACAAAGUAUUAACCUAUUCAGGACAACAAAGGCAUAAUACAAAGCACGGGUAUUAUCGUAUUGGAAAGCUUGAAGCAUUUAGUAGCUUCCAACAAUUAGAAUUUAGUUUUUUACGAACUAUAACAUUCUGUUCAAGUUUGAAGAUUUUUGUAAACUAAAACGCAUUGCGUAUGAUUUUGGC
Molecule: long non-coding RNA, 1463 nt
Filed under: Capsicum annuum
Lineage: Eukaryota; Viridiplantae; Streptophyta; Magnoliopsida; Solanales; Solanaceae
Description: long non-coding RNA (CANN_LNC018279)
Source: RNAcentral